AUUAGGAGUAUUUAAUGUUUCACUUCAUGGACACACACUUAAUUUGAAAACCCUAGAUAAAACAUGCAGUAAAAUGGGGAGAAAGAAGUGGUUUCCUGGAUACUUAAUGAUGAAACAUGGGAUGCUCAUGAUAAGCAAAAAUUAAAAAUGACUUUUCAGUCCUUUGAAAUUCUAUCUAAUGUAUAAUGGCUGGAGAGCUUGGCUCUGUCUAAAAAGUCACCAGCACCUGAAUUAUAAAUAAAAAAAAUUAGAAAUAAUUUAAUUUACUUUCAAAUAAUAAAUAAUCUUUGAAGGAAAAAAGAAACCCUUACAGCAAUUUAUUUUUUUUUAAUGAAAGGGGGUAUUUGUAGUUACUUUAGCAUCCACCUUUUUUCUGUAAAAGGGGAAUUAAACUAUUACAGGACACCUUGUUAAGUAAUUAUACAGCAGCAUCACAGUGCAAUUAAAUAGCCAUCAGUCCCCGCAGCUGAGAAAUUCCAGGUAAUUAUUCAAAGAUAAUUUAAUAGGAGAAUUACUGUAUUCAAGCAAGGAUUAGCAAGUAAUCUACCUCAAUUAAAGCAUCCAAUUAAUUUCAGAGCCUCGAUAACAGUUGCCUUUGGCAAAAUGAUCCUUCCCUUCAUUUGAUCCUGCAUAGGCAAUAUUCCUUAAACACUGUGUAAAAUUAAUUUACUUCUUCUAAAAGUACAGUCUAUUAAUAGCAGCCUCCUGAGAAAUUAAACAGAUGCAAGAGUAACAACGGCGUCUUCCCGCCUGCUUGCUUGUGCCUUUUCCCCCCCAGUCUUCUGUGCAGAAACAAAACACAGCCAACUCGGACCUGUUAGUCCCAGCGUGCAUCACCAAGUGCAGGAAAACCUGCCAGUGAUGGAGAGUUCCUGAAGACAAUUUUGUUGCUGGACUGAUUAACUCAGCGGACAGACUGUCUGUGGGAACUCUGUCUCUGGGAAUCUGAUGGUCAUGUGGCCGGGAUGACGACUGGGCAAGUAUGGAGACUUUAGUGGGUGGGGUUUCCUCCGUUGAGUUUCUUUCAGAUUGCUGCAGAAAGCCCUCAGCAUUGGGACACAAAGAGAGGUUUGGAUGCUCUGGGAGGACCUUUCACUGUCUCAAACUGUCUCUUAACAGCAGCCUUUCAGUUCUGCCUCACUCACGGUUUCUCUGGGUUCUUUGUCAUGGCAGGACAAGUGACUACUACAACUUCCCCUCGUCCACCUUGCCUCCAGCUCUGUCUACACCUAGCUCUUUUGUUAAUGGUGGUUGCGAUGUCUCGUGUGUCUGUGGAGAGCAACUUGACCAGCUCACGGGUGUCGGGCUCACAUUCAAAGAAAGCUCAACCUUUUGUAACAACACAAGCUGUAAUGCCAGCACCAGGGGACGGAGGCAAGAAGACAAGGCAAGCUUCAGGCCAGCCUGGCCUACCAAAACCAAGAACCAAAAAACCUAACCCAAUUCGUAAAAUCAAAUCAGAUUCAAUCAAGUUACUUAGCAUAUCCAGUACCGGCCUCACCCACCAGCACCACAGGCACCAUUGCUAAGUGUCUGAGCUGACCAGUGCUAAUCACACUGAGCCUUACAGUCUCCACCCAUCUUUAUCCUAAAUGGCAAGUCUGACCCAUUCAGCAGCAGGUUUUCAUUCUCACCCCUUCCCUGAUAACCUUGGCUCUCCUCCCACUCUCUGUGACUCGUCUGUCCUACCUACCUCAUGGGAGUGGAGUCAUACAGGGUUUCUUCCUUUGCAGUUGGCUUAUUUUACUGAGCAAAGUGCUUUUAAAGAUUCACCCAUAGAGUACCAGGGGUCAGAAUGCUACUCCUCUUAUGGCUAAGUAAUAUUCCACUGCAUCUCACGCUGUGUGUUAUUCACUCAUUCGUCGGCGGAUACUUGGGUUAUGUAGUAUUGACUACUGUGCCUUUCAAUUAAAGAAAAAAACAAUCUGUUUAAGCUUGAUUUUCAGUUCUUGUGGUGGGGAAGGGAUAAGUACCAGGGCCUUGAGCAUGCUCUGCAAAUGCUCGCUCCACCACGAAGGUCC
Long non-coding RNA from Mus spicilegus (steppe mouse), 2021 nucleotides. The record is from Ensembl. NCBI's taxonomy places the organism in Eukaryota, Metazoa, Chordata, Mammalia, Rodentia, Muridae.